UACGUAGGUGGCGAGCGUUGUCCGGAUUUACUGGGCGUAAAGGGAGCGUAGGCGGACUUUUAAGUGAGAUGUGAAAUACUCGGGCUCAACUUGAGUGCUGCAUUUCAAACUGGGAGUCUAGAGUGCAGGAGAGGAGAAUGGAAUUCCUAGUGUAGCGGUGAAAUGCGUAGAGAUUAGGAAGAACACCAGUGGCGAAGGCGAUUCUCUGGACUGUGACUGACGCUGAGGCUCGAAAGCGUGGGGAGCAAACAGG
Molecule: ribosomal RNA, 253 nt
Filed under: uncultured bacterium
Lineage: Bacteria
Description: partial 16S ribosomal RNA
Rfam family: Bacterial small subunit ribosomal RNA
Source: RNAcentral